RNAcentral lists this ribosomal RNA (504 nucleotides) under uncultured bacterium. RNAcentral's name for it is "bacterial SSU rRNA". It matches the Rfam family "Bacterial small subunit ribosomal RNA", at positions 107 to 607 of the family's 1533-position model. The record is from RNAcentral.
UGAGUAAUGUCUGGGAAACUGCCCGAUGGAGGGGGAUAACUACUGGAAACGGUAGCUAAUACCGCAUAACGUCGCAAGACCAAAGUGGGGGACCUUCGGGCCUCACACCAUCGGAUGUGCCCAGAUGGGAUUAGCUAGUAGGUGGGGUAAUGGCUCACCUAGGCGACGAUCCCUAGCUGGUCUGAGAGGAUGACCAGCCACACUGGAACUGAGACACGGUCCAGACUCCUACGGGAGGCAGCAGUGGGGAAUAUUGCACAAUGGGCGCAAGCCUGAUGCAGCCAUGCCGCGUGUAUGAAGAAGGCCUUCGGGUUGUAAAGUACUUUCAGCGGGGAGGAAGGCGGUGAAGUUAAUAGCUUCACCGAUUGACGUUACCCGCAGAAGAAGCACCGGCUAACUCCGUGCCAGCAGCCGCGGUAAUACGGAGGGUGCAAGCGUUAAUCGGAAUUACUGGGCGUAAAGCGCACGCAGGCGGUCUGUCAAGUCGGAUGUGAAAUCCCCGGG